GUGCACUGUUAUCUUCAUCGUUCCCUACUCUCCAAUUUGUCUCUUUUAUACUCUUCUUCCUUCUUCAAAAAACUAGCCGCGAUAGUGUUUCGUUUUGCCAAAUCCAACUUGGUUGCUCGUGAGGAUUUGCAAAUCUUUUCAAAGGUAAAUCAUUUCUAACCUCAGGAUUUUAUCUCUCAACUAAUAUUUUUUCUACCUUUUUCUUUUGCCCUAUUUAGCUUUUCAAAAUUGAUUUUCACUUUUCCUAUUUCUCACGCCCUAAAUCACUUCAAUAGUUAAGUCUUAGUAAGUUGUUUGUUUUUCUGAACAAAUUAUGGUGCAUUUUCGUUUUUCAUUCACAUUUCUACUCAUAGAUGCAUUUCUGUUCUAGAACAAUGGUGCGUUUCUGGUUCAUAAUAGUGGUGCGUUUUUGUUCCAGAACUACAUUUUUUGUUCUGAAACUGUUAAGUAAAAACAGAGUAUUGCAAAAUAAAGUGCAGAAAUAGAAAUAGAGGAUGCGCAGAAAAACCCUAACUCCUUCAUAGUGCCGUUGGAGGAAAUCUCGGAAGCAUGGGUGAAGUGGAGACAGUUUCCAAGUUGAAAAUCAAACGUUACCCUUUCAACCUUGGAUCGUGGCCGCACGAAUCGGAAGUUGGGCGCCUCCGCACUGUUGGAUUUUUGAACGUUGUAGAUCGUUACGAGAGGAGUGGGAGGUUGACUCCUUCCUUCACGCUGGCCUUCCCUCUUCUGCGGCGACAACCUUGAACCCACUAGGGUUUGAAGAGGCGCCACCCUUGGGGGUUCUCCAUCUAUAAAUACCGUUUUCCCCUCUUCAGAAAACGCAACUCUCACUACUUCAUCUUCUUCCUCCGCUCACCAUCUUCUUCUUUCCCCAAUUUCCACUUUUCACUUUCUCUCUCCUCUUUAUUUUAAUAUUAUAAUAUUUUUGGGUUCUAUUUGGUAUUACUCUUUUAAAGAGAAACUUGCUAGUUCUGAUCCUCGGAAAUUACCGGGAAGUUCCUGUUGUAUCCUGGGGGACUUGCGCAAUACAUCGCGGAUAAGUCCUUACGGACAGUGAUUACUCACCCCUCGGGAAACUAUUUUUUGUUCGUUUUAAAGCCUGAAUAUCUACAAUCGUAAGGACUUAUGGCUGAAAAUCCGAACAACAACGACAACACUGCUCCGGAAACAUCAAAUGUUGUUUCCGCAACGCAAACCAUUUUUGCGAAACCAUUUCUGGACGUCUCCAAAAUUGAAGUCUUCACCGGUCAGAACUUCCGACGUUGGCAAGAACGCGUGUCCACCCUAUUGGACAUGUACGGAGUUGCUCAUGCACUUACAACUGCCAAACCUGACUCAACCACGGCUGCGAAACAAGUUGACGACUGGAUCCAUGCGAAUAAGGUAUGCNNNNNNNNNNNNNNNNNNNNNNNNNNNNNNNNNNNNNNNNNNNNNNNNNNNNNNNNNNNNNNNNNNNNNNNNNNNNNNNNNNNNNNNNNNNNNNNNNNNNACUUUACUCAGUGUGUUAUCUAACGAUCUGUUCGAUGUUUAUGCUUCUUAUAAGAAUGCGAAAGAUAUUUGGGAUUCUCUUAUCCUCAAAUAUACUGCCGAAGACAUCGUCAAACAAAGGUUCGUAAUUGCAAAAUACUACCGCUGGGAGAUGAUCGAAGGCAAAGACAUCAAAAUCCAAAUAAACGAAUAUCACAAGCUGAUUGAAGAUAUCAAAACUGAAAGCAUAAAAUUGCUAGAUGAAUUCGUGUCCGAACUCUUGAUCGAAAAGCUUCCGCAGUCUUGGACGGAUUACAAACAACAACUGAAGCACAAACAUAAACAGAUGUCUCUAUCAGAUUUGAUCACCCACAUCAUCAUUGAAGACACAAACAGGAAGGAGUGCGCUGCUGCAAAGGCCAAAGCUUUGUCUGCCAAAGCAAACGUGAUAGAAGACAAACCAGCUCCAAAAAGGUACGAGAAAAAAUUUGAUCACAAAAAGAAACCUAAUAACAAAUUUUCUCGUCCCAGUGGAACUAACCCCACUUUCAAGAAAAAAAGGAAAUUGCUUUGUCUGUGGAAAGCCAGGCCAUCAUGCACCUCAGUGCAGACAUAGGGCUAAAAACGACUAUCCUCCUAAGGCAAAUCUAGCCGAUGGGGAAGAUACUAUUGUGGCAGUCGUUUCACAAGUAAACCUUGUGACAAAUGUGAGCAAAUGGGUGGUAGACUCUGGGGCUACCAGACACAUCUGUGCAAACAAAAAUGUGUUCACCUCCUACACAAGUGUGGGGGAUGGAGAAGAACAAGUAUAUCUCGGUGACUCCAGGACAACUCCUGUCCUAGGAAAAGGAAAAGUUCUUCUGAAGCUCACAUCUGGUAAAACUCUAGCUUUGAAUGAUGUGCUACAUGUGCCAUCAAUUAGAGUUAAUUUGGUCUCUAUGGCAUUACUAAGCAAAGUUGGGGUUAAAGUGUCAUUUGAAUCUGACAAGAUUGUUAUGACAAAAAACAAUGUUUUUGUGGGAAAGGGAUAUUGUGAUCAAGGCCUUUUUGUAUUAAACAUUUCUGAAAUUAUGAAUGAAUCUAAAUCUUAUGCUUAUAUAGUUGACUCGUAUGAUAUAUGGCAUGCUAGAUUAGGACAUGUGAAUUCUUCGUAUGUUAUAAAAUUGCAACGACUAAGAUUAAUCAACAUGCAUGACAAACAAAGUAGUAAAUGUGAUGUAUGCGUAGAAUCUAAAAUAACGAAGAAAACAUGUCACUCUGUAGAACGUCAAACUGAAAUUCUUGGUUUAAUUCAUACCGACCUUNNNNNNNNNNNNNNNNNNNNNNNNNNNNNNNNNNNNNNNNNNNNNNNNNNNNNNNNNNNNNNNNNNNNNNNNNNNNNNNNNNNNNNNNNNNNNNNNNNNNACCAUUUUUAGAGGUGGUAAAAAUUAUUUUGUAACCUUUAUAGAUGAUUUUUCUAGAUACACCAAAGUUUAUUUAAUUAAACAUAAGGAUGAAGCUUUUGACAUGUUUUUAACUUAUAAAGCGGAAGUAGAAAAUCAACUUAAUAAGAAAAUUAAGAGAAUUAGAUCAGAUAGAGGUGGUGAAUAUGUUUUAUUUAAUGACUAUUGUGUAAAAGAAGGUAUUAUUCAUGAAGUAACCCCACCAUAUUCACCUGAGUCUAAUGGAGUAGCUGAAAGGAAAAAUAGGACUCUUAAAGAAAUGAUGAAUGCCAUGCUUAUUAGUUCUGAUGCUCCUGAUAAUUUAAUGGGUGAAUCUCUGCUUACUGCGUGUUUUUUACAAAAUAGGAUACCACAUAGGAAAACUGGUAAAACACCCUAUGAGUUGUGGAAAGGUUAUCAACCUAAUUUGAAAUACCUAAGAGUGUGGGGGAGUUUAGCUAAAGUGAUGUUACCUGAUCCUAAGAAAAGGAAAAUAGGCUCUAAAACAUCUGAUUGUAUGUUCUUAGGAUAUGCAGAACAUAGUGCUGCCUAUAGGUUUCUAGUUCUUAAUAGUGAUAUAAUUGAACGCAACACUAUAGUAGAGACAAAAAAUGCUGAGUUCUUUGAACACAUCUUUCCUCUAAAGAGUAGUGGUACAUCUGAACAACCUAUAGAUAGUGCUAAUGAUACCUUGAGUGAGGAUGUUAGGAGAAGUAAAAGACAGAGAAAGGAAACAUCUUUUGGAGAUGACUUUUAUACUUAUCUAGUUGAGAAUGAUCCAAUAAGUUUUGUAGAAGCUACUAGUGCUCCUGAUGCUAAACAUUGGGAUAAGGCCAUUAAAACUGAGCUUGAAUCAAUUAAGAAAAAUAAUACGUGGACCUUAGUAGAUCUGCAUGAAGGAGCAAAACCUAUUGGUUGUAAGUGGAUCUUUAAGAAGAAGUACCAUCCUGAUGGAUCCAUAGAGAAAUAUAAGGCAAGAUUAGUUGCUAAAGGGUUUACUCAAAAACAUAACAUAGAUUACUUUGAUACUUUUGCACCUGUUACUAGGAUUUCCUCUAUUCGUGUAUUGCUAGCCUUAGCAUCUAUCCAUAAGUUAGUAAUUCACCAAAUGGAUGUUAAAACAGCUUUUCUGAAUGGUGAAUUAGAAAAGGAAAAAGUAUGCAAACUUUUAAAAUCUUUGUAUGGUUUGAAACAAGCACCAAAACAAUGGCAUGAAAAACUUGAUAAUAUUUUACUUUGUGAAGGUUUUUCUACCAAUGAUGCUGAUAAAUGUGUAUAUUCUAGAUCUGAAAAUGGUGAAUAUGUCAUUAUAUGUUUGUAUGUGGAUGACAUGCUAAUUUUUGGUACAUGCAAUGAUAUAGUUUUUCAAACAAAAUUGUUUCUUGGAUCUAAGUUUGAGAUGAAAGACAUGGGUGAAGCAAGUGUGAUUCUAGGAGUUAAAAUCAUAAGGAAGGGAGAUAGUAUAUUACUAUCCCAAGAAAAAUACACUGAGAAACUUCUAAAGAAGUUUGGUUACUAUGACUUUAAGUCAAUGAGUACCCCUUAUGAUGCUAACUCUAAAUUAAAGAAGAACAGAGGAGAAUCUAUUUUUCAAACUCAGUAUGCCCUGAUAAUUGGGAGCUUAUUGCAUUUAAUGAGCUUUUCUAGACCAGAUAUUGCUUAUGCAGUAGGUAGAUUGAGUAGAUACACUCAAUGUCCUAGUCAGGAUCAUUGGGAAGCACUUGCGAGACUCAUGAAAUACUUGAGAGGUACAAUGGAUUAUGCCAUUGAAUAUAGUGGAUUUCCCGCUGUGCUAGAAGGGUACAGUGAUGCUAACUGGAUCUCUGAUUCAGAUGAGACAAAAUCCACUAGUGGUUAUGUAUUUACACUUGGGGGUGGUGCAGUUACAUGGAGAUCAGCCAGGCAAACUAUUAUCGCAAGAUCAACAAUGGAAUCUGAGUUUGUUGCUCUAGAAAUGGCUGGUAGUGAAGCUGAGUGGUUGAAAAACUUCUUAGCAAACAUUCCUUUAGGAAUGAAACUAACCCCAUCUGUAUCAAUGCAUUGUGAUUGCCAAUCGGCAAUAGCUAUAGCUAAAAAUAAAAGCUAUAAUGGAAAGAAUAGACAUAUACAAUUGAGACACAAUUUGGUGAAACAGCUGUUAAAGAGUGGAACGAUUUCUAUUGACUAUGUCAAGUCAGAACGGAAUCUGGCAGAUCCUCUGACAAAACCCCUAGGGAGAAAAAUGAUUUUAGAAACAUCGAGGGGAAUGGGACUUAAGCCACUUGCAAACAAACAAGUGAUGGAAACCCAACCUUUGUGAUUGGAGAUCCCAUGAAUAAGGUUCAUAUGGGUAAAAACAAGUCACUUGUUAGUUCUGCUAGCACUAAUAUUGAUUUUAAUCAAUUUUGUCCAUUCCUAUGGUGUGUGUGAAAGUGCUAGAUACUGCAUUAUCGAGAGGAUAAACUUUGUGGUUAAAAUUCAGAAGUAAAAGAGUUUUAACGAUUUACAAAGUUUUAAUGAUUUUCAUAUCCCUUAUGGGUGGUGUGUGAUUUGCAGCAUACACUUGAUGAAAUCACCUAUAUGAGUGUCAAGUGGGGUCGCUUGCAUGAGAUCUUGGCAAGAUCUCUAUAGCACUCAUGAAUACCGGGCACGCGCAUGGCCUAUUAGCGCAACACAGCGAUAACAGCAAGUAAUGUGGGGGUGUAUUGUGAUUGAUAAACCUCUAACACAUACUAAGUGUCUUGGUUCAUAUAGCUUGCUAUACCAACUACACUAUGUGUUACGUUCAUUAAUCUAAGACUGGUUCAUAUAGCUUGCUAUACCAGAUCUGAUGCAUUACAUCUUAGAUGAACCCAAUUUUUUUUUCUUCUUAUCUCUAUGUUUUAUCUUUUGCAAUAUGUGGGGGAUUGUUGUAAAAACAGAGUAUUGCAAAAUAAAGUGCAGAAACAGAAAUAGAGGAUGCGCAGAAAAACCCUAACUCCUUCAUAGUGCCGUUGGAGGAAAUCUCGGAAGCAUGGGUGAAGUGGAGACAGUUUCCAAGUUGAAAAUCAAACAUUGCCCUUUCAACCUUGGAUCGUGGCCGCAUGAAUCGGAAGUUGGGCGCCUCCGCACUGUUGGAUUUUUGAACGUUGUAGAUCGUUACGAGAGGAGUGGGAGGUUGACUCCUUCCUUCACGCUGGCCUUCCCUCUUCUGCGGCGACAACCUUGAACCCACUAGGGUUUGAAGAGGCGGCACCCUUGGGGGUUCUCCAUCUAUAAAUACCGCUUUCCCCUCUUCAGAAAACGCAACUCUCACUACUUCAUCUUCUUCCUCCGCUCACCAUCUUCUUCUUUCCCCAAUUUCCACUUUUCACUUUCUCUCUCCUCUUUAUUUUAAUAUUAUAAUAUUUUUGGGUUCUAUUUGGUAUUACUCUUUUAAAGAGAAACUUGCUAGUUCUGAUCCUCGGAAAUUACCGGGAAGUUCCUGUUGUAUCCUGGGGGACUUGCGCAAUACAUCGCGGAUAAGUCCUUACGGACAGUGAUUACUCACGCCUUGGGAAACUAUUUUUUGUUCGUUUUAAAGCCUGAAUAUCUACAGAAACUACAAUACAUUUCGCAAAUUUGGUAUCUCACGUCUCUCUCGUUUGUAUCUUAUGUAAAUCUAUUUGUGAUUUUUCUCAUAUUUUGUUAUUAUACACAAUAUUGCUUACAACAUAUGGAAGUGGUCAUUUGAUGUCUAACGGGAAUGAAAAUGGAAAGAACCUAAUGGAAUGAACUUUAACCUAAGACAUAUGAGAGGAAUGUUAGGUACGUUUUAAACUAUUUUUAAUAUAACCAUUGAUAGUGGUGGUUUCACCAAUCUUGCUUCUAUCUUGUUCCCAUUCCAAAAAAGGAUUUUCGUCAUCCACUUUUGUUAAAUAGUUCUCCAACUGCUUUACAUCAUUUUUGGGUUUUUAAUUCUUGUGAGAGUUCAUGAGAAAUGAACUAAUUAGUACUUGUUCAGUACUUGAAAUGCAGAAUAGAGUAAACACGGCGCAACAAUAAAAGAAAAUAGAAAAGAAAAGAAGAAAGGAGAGAGAGACAAAGAGAGGAGGAAGAUGUUUGCUUUCUGUUUGUUUUAACUUUACAUUCUGUCUUAUGUUUCUAAGACGUGCUGAUAUACUUGGUUUGAUUCUCUGUUCACUCCACUCUCCCUUAAAUUCAUAGUUGUAUUAUUUUUUCUUGGUUAGUUUUCGUAAAUACAUUUAUCAGCAAGAAUACAUGACAUUUUGGUGCCAUGUUCAGGGUCAUAAUUUUGAGGAUCACGGUUGAUGCAUGUUUUUUACACCUUUUUUAUUAUUAUCAGCUUUUGGGAUUUUGAAAGUUUUGAAAGAAUAUAUUCUACAAUGGUUAAUAUUGUCGAUUUAUUAACUAUUCAACUAAUUGUUAAAAUUAUAAAAGGGAAAUAAUGAAUAAAAAAUGAGAAAAAUACAUUUCUUUUUAAUUUUUCUAUUUGUGAUUGUUCUAGUUUGUUAUUUGAUCUUCAGGUCACUGGUCAUAUAUCUUCUCUUGUGAAAAAGUUGAAGUUAGUUUUGGAUGGGUGAGUGUGCAAGUUCUGAAUUCUGAAAGUUCAAGUAUUAUCUCUCUCUUACAUAACCCCUAAAGUAAUAAACCCAUGUAAGUAUUGAGUAUCAAUUAGUCUAGUUGAUGUAUUUUAGUUAAUUUCAUAUUUGAACGGUUUUAUCAAAAUUCCUUAUAUUUCCCAUAAUUAAGAACGAAAUUUCAGUGUUUUCUUUCAUUCAACUAUACAUGUUUAAUUAUCUUUUUAUUUUCUCAAUGCUAAUGUACUGGCCAGACUUUAGACCUCGGCAUCAGACGUGACAUCGUACCUCGGUGGUCUGGCCGCGAUAAUGGGCCACGUAAGUGGACCCCAAAAAUAAUAAUGAGUUAUCAUCCAUAUAUAAGAAAGACCUAAAUCACGGGAGAGUUCAUGCAUGUGGUGUGUAUAGUACGCUCAGGUCUAGCACAA
RNAcentral lists this long non-coding RNA (7854 nucleotides) under Phaseolus vulgaris (common bean). RNAcentral describes it as "long non-coding RNA (PVUL_LNC004035)". Lineage: Eukaryota; Viridiplantae; Streptophyta; Magnoliopsida; Fabales; Fabaceae. The record is from RNAcentral.